CCGUAGUCAGGCUGGGGAGGUGGCCUAGGUAACAGGUAGUUUCCACACAGCCUUGCAAAGAGCCCCCGGACCAUUUGCCUAAGCCCGGUUCCCAGUUAUGACCCAAAGGAGAAGGAAGUCUCCCUAAGCCUGCCAUUCAUUGGCCAUCUGCUGGACCAGCCACAGCAUGUGCGUGGAGCAGGGAGAGAAGGCCCUAAAGAGCGAUGCUGCCGAAAUUACCAGAGAUUGGCAACUAUUACGGAUUGACCUCCGCCUGGCGCUUUGCCUGGAAUCUCUCAUCUACUUCUCGAAAAGACCCUCCGAGGUCUAGCUCAGAUGCCACCAUCUCAGAGUGACCUUCCUGACCAUGUCGAACAGCCCAAACCCCGCUUACCUUUGGUCUCACCUCACUGUUGUUGAGCUCUAUUUUAGUGCUCUCAUUACUCUGGACUAUCUCCCUGGAGUGUGAUCUCCAGGAAGGCCAGGACUGGUAUGAAAUUGUCCCUGCUAGAGUCUCAGUGUCCAGAAGAAUAGAGCAGCAGGUGCUCAGGAGAUGUGUGGAUACAAGCAGAGCUUUGGAGAUACACAACUUUGGGUCUGAGUUACACCUCCCCACUAACCAUCUGCAGAACCAUCAAGGAGUCUCUCAGUGUCUUUGACCCUCAGUUUCCUCAUCUGCAAAUGGGGACAGCAGUACCUAUGCGAUGCAGCUACUAGGGUCUAAAGACGACUAAGUAUAAGGCGCUCAGUACAGUGUCUGUUAUUAGCAGAGCCUCAGAGAAUGAGAAUGGCCUCUUCGCUUGCAUGUAUUCAACGACAGGCAGCUCAUUCCCUCCCAAGGUGGGCUUGUCCACCUCUGAACCACCGCUGACAUCUGCCCAAAUAUGUCUCCCAUGGUGUCCUUCCUUUGGUCCUGGCUC
Neofelis nebulosa (Clouded leopard) is the source of this 899-nucleotide long non-coding RNA. RefSeq lists it as uncharacterized. NCBI's taxonomy places the organism in Eukaryota, Metazoa, Chordata, Mammalia, Carnivora, Felidae. The record is from RefSeq and is a predicted model, not a curated record. The transcript has 3 exons.